Cygnus olor (mute swan) is the source of this 3936-nucleotide long non-coding RNA. RefSeq lists it as uncharacterized. The transcript has 5 exons. The record is from RefSeq and is a predicted model, not a curated record. NCBI's taxonomy places the organism in Eukaryota, Metazoa, Chordata, Aves, Anseriformes, Anatidae.
AAACAUUUCAUGUCAUUACAUGAGAGCUGUGAAGUCCUGUGGGCUUCACAAAGCAAUUGUGGUGCUUGUUUGCACCAGGGAUGACAGCACACAGGCAGCAGGCGGGCAGGCUGCUGGCCAAGCAGACAGGAGGAGGCUGUGAUGAGUGAGGGGAAGGCAAAAAAAAUGGCUAAAAGAGGAACUGGGAAGGGGAAUCUGCCCACAAGGAAACUUUUCUCAGCCAGCUAUGUCACAGCACUCUCACUGCACGGCAGCAGCUGUGCUGACCACAGGCACUGCCCUGAUGACUCGGGGUCCUCAGCACAUGCAGUGGCUUCCCAGCACAGGCAGGCAGCAAUGAGACUCUGCCAGGGGAAAGCACAGAGAUGAAGACAUCAGGACGCCAAAACAGAUGGGAGACCAUGCACACGGCAAAGCUGUGGAGAUCUGCCAGCCCCUGGAUGACAGUGGAGUGGUGGGAACUGAAGGCAUCCUUUGGGGGUAUCAGAUGGUGUGUGUGAUGUGCUGGCUCCAGCCACAGGCUUGAUUCCCAUCUGAAGUUUUCUGGCAGUGACAGCUUUUGAAAUGGAUGGAAGUACCCCAUGACGUUUUGGAAAAAUAUGACAAUAUUGUCACGUUACUUGGAGAGAUGUGGCUGGAAGUAUGAGUGAUGUCUGAAACAUCUGACCCUGAGCUGAAAUAAAGAACAGUUGAGACUUAUGUACAAGCAUUCGAGCCUCAGGUACACAGACGUGUGAGAGACUCCUAGAUAAAGUGUCUGAGGAACAAGAACUAUUUUCACGUGGGAAAGGAAGAGGUUGCAUGAAUCAUGGUAAACUUCCAACUUAGAUUUUACAGUAGUGAGGGUUGAGACAGUAGAGAUACCAUCUAGAAGUUGAUAGAAUUUUCUUUUUUUUUUUUUUUUUUGAAACACAUAUCUGUGCAAAUGUUAUACUUUGGACAAAAAAAAAAAGUGAGCAAAGGCAGAAUAAACCACUCUGUUUAGCAAAACAGCUGCAUGAUCUGCUAAACCCAGUCUUGUGAUGACAAGCCACAUGAAAUCUCUGCAGAUAAGUCAUCACCAGUGGCUAGUUUCCCCUGUGUCUCACUGACAAGGGGAGGGGAGGAGGAGUUUGUGUAAUUAAUAGGCAAGGGAAAAGUAGGGGACAUUUUUUAAAGUCAUCCCUGAUUACUCUCAAGUGGGUAUUGAUGGAAUGACAUCGGACAUGCUUUUAUAUUCGUAUUCCUCUGAUUAGAGGAAUUUGGACAUGAUCCAAGCAGAAGUAGACGAUCUGCUAGGUGGUCCAGUGGUAAAGCAUCCCACCCACCGCAGCAUCCUUAGCAGGGAGGAGGAGGUGAGACAGGGGGAGAUCCUCUGCUGAGGUGAGCCCCUGCACUGCCAGUGGGCAUAGAGAACAGACUCGUCCAGCCUGGGGAUUGAAACUCCACAAAGUCGAGCACCAGAUGGCAGAAGAUACAGUGGUUUACAUGUUUUGGACAGAGGGAGGCGUUGAUAACUCAAAAAAGAUAAAAAGAUAAACAUCAUGAAAUAUAAAAGGUAAGCCCUUUGCAGAACUUGGCCAGACUUCUGCAUUUCUACAGAUGUAGCCAUCUGCAAAAUGAAGAAGACAAGCACAAAGAGGAGCAUUAGGGGCUGGACAUUUUCAACAAGCUGCACUUGGGAUCCUCAACUUCUCCAAAGACCACGAAGCAGAGGAAUCUGUUCUCCCCAGAAACUGACCCAGGAGCACCCUGGUCCACUGUGAGGGUGGGGGAACAGCGAGACAGAAGCCAUCAGAGGACAGAGGGAAACCACAGGUACCUUGUGGAGUUGAAGCUGGAAAUGCUGUGCCACCUACAGCAUGUGUAGACACUUCUAUAAAUGCACGCGUAGCUGUGCAGUGGAAAGUAUCAUGAAGCUCUGCACAAUAAAGAUCAGCUUGUUCUUGGUCACAGCUGCUGGUGGGUUGCUAUUCCAGGAGAGGAAAGCCAGCUUGGAUGAAAGAACGUGUGACAGUGAGGUAACUCAACAUGGUACUUGAAAGUCCCUGUUGUGCCUGUUUGGAAGAGGAGCCAAAGCUCCCAGGCUGAGCUGGAGUCUGUACAGGAUGGAGAUGAAUCCAACCAAGAGCAGGAGGAAAGGAUGGGUACUUGGCUCACAGGCUGUCAAUAUGAUGUCUUAAGCUUCUGUGUGAAGGUGGAGCAUCACAGCUGGCAUUGAGUGGAGCAACAGGACCUUUCUGUUCUUGCUUUACCUGAAAAGCCCACCAUGCUAGGUCCUGCCUGGGGCUCCUGGAACACACCAAGUUAGAGAUCUAAGAGUGUAAAUGUUUUCAUCUAACUGAUGACAUGCUGUUUCGUGCUCCCAUCCCUGCCCAUAUGGCCAUUACUUUAUGGAACAACAAAGGCUUGCCCAGCAGAGCACUGAAGUAUCAGAAGAUAAAUGUAUAAAAAUUUAGUAACUGCUUUCUUCUUUGCUGUGUCAUGUUACCUAUUAAUACAGAUGUUAUAUCCCUGAGAAGUCUAGAAACAUAGAUAAUAUUCAGGUCCAUCAGGAAGAAUUACUGAAAACAUCUAAAAGUAUCCUUUCCAUAAACAAACUGAAUAUGUAAGCACAUCUGGCACAGCAAUCCUUUACUGCACCAUAUUAUAAAGCUCUCCAGAGCAAUGAAAGUAGUUAAGCCAAUUGUUUCAUAUUAGUUUUAAAUUUAUGCUUACAAAACAAUCUAUGAAUGAUUUGCAUCUCAGCAAAGAGACUUCCAUAAGUGGUCACAAAAAAGGGAGAAUCCAAAUAAAAGUUCUCUCUUGCAGAACAGGAAGGAAAAAAAUACUUGAACUUGAGGAGGUGUCUGGCUGGGCAGACAGAAGAAAGCAUCAGAGGGUCAAAAUCCCCUGAAGCCAUUAGGGAAAUACCAGAGUAUUAAAAAAAAAAAGAAAGGGAAAAGAAAAAAAAAAAAAGGCACCAUUAGCUUUAAUGUUCCCACACAAGUCAGUCACAAGAGACAGGCUGGGCACUCAUUUACAUACAAGCUUCAGAAUGAGACAAGCCUCAUGUGACUUCAAAGUUAUGAGUAAUGGGCCCAGAAAGCAGCAGAAAAAAACAGUGGGAUUAGGGGCAUUUCAGCUGAAACCCUUCCUCUGUGUAGAAGUGGCAGCCAGCAGCAAGUGGAGUUAACCUAUCUCCCCCUCCCCACUGCUGCCUCCCCUGAGGGUGUCACCGUGGAGGCUCUGCCUCUUCAGGGAGCAGGGGCUGACGGCUGCCUUGGCUGGAUGCUGGGAGCUGCCCUCACCUCAGUGAGCCUCACUGCAGGCAUCCCUGCCAGUCCUUGCUUGCUCUUUCAGCACCGAGGUUUCUGCAUGGUGUGGGAGUUCGGUGAAUCGGGCAGGCAUGCAAGUUGCAUGAGUAACGAAGAAAGGGGAAGGAGGCAACAGAUAAACAGAGUCACAAUUUGAAAAACAGGAAUAUGCUCUAAAGAUUAGGUUGGUAGGUCCAACACGCUCUGCUCUGGGGAGCAGGCUUACUUCUAGCUUGUCUGCUCUGAAAUGAUGGGACGCACCAGUUCAGAGGGAGGUGGACUAAACUGUAAAAAAGCACUGUGUAUGAAGGUGGACAGGAACCCAGGAACGUGGUCUAGAGAGCUGUAGGAAUUACAAGCACUGGCUGACCCAUCGCAAAAGUACUCAGGAAUGUAACACCUCUGUGGUUUCAACUGGGAAAGCACUGAAGCUUGUGCUGAAACGUGCUCCUGAACAAACAGAAAGGAUGACAGGGUUAACCAGGAGAGAGAGCAACUGACCAGGAGAGGGGGAAGCAGGCAGGGUCACCUCUUAGGAAAGGGGCCCCUGUCCUGACAACACCAGGUGGCUUGCAGCUCUAUCUUAUUUUUCUUUGAGAUCAUGGGCAACACGUAGAAGUCACAGUGGUGUAACGGUAUUGCCUGUCCAGAGAGAGGUCUG